UACGUAGGGGGCAAGCGUUAUCCGGAUUUACUGGGUGUAAAGGGAGCGUAGACGGUUUGGCAAGUCUGAUGUGAAAGCCCGGGGCUCAACCGCGGGACUGCAUUGGAAACUGUCAGACUUGAGUGCAGGAGAGGUAAGUGGAAUUCCUAGUGUAGCGGUGAAAUGCGUAGAUAUUAGGAGGAACACCGGUGGCGAAGGCGGCUUACUGGACUGUAACUGACGUUGAGGCUCGAAAGCGUGGGGAGCAAAC
Molecule: ribosomal RNA, 250 nt
Filed under: uncultured prokaryote
Description: partial 16S ribosomal RNA
Rfam family: Bacterial small subunit ribosomal RNA
Source: RNAcentral